This 492-nucleotide ribosomal RNA is filed under the name uncultured bacterium. RNAcentral describes it as "partial 16S ribosomal RNA". It matches the Rfam family "Bacterial small subunit ribosomal RNA", at positions 29 to 507 of the family's 1533-position model. The record is from RNAcentral.
AGUGAACGCUGGCGGUAGGCCUAACACAUGCAAGUCGAACGGCAGCACAGUAAGAGCUUGCUCUUACGGGUGGCGAGUGGCGGACGGGUGAGGAAUACAUCGGAAUCUACAUUUUCGUGGGGGAUAACGUAGGGAAACUUACGCUAAUACCGCAUACGACCUACGGGUGAAAGCAGGGGAUCUUCGGACCUUGCGCGAUUGAAUGAGCCGAUGUCGGAUUAGCUAGUUGGCGGGGUAAAGGCCCACCAAGGCGACGAUCCGUAGCUGGUCUGAGAGGAUGAUCAGCCACACUGGAACUGAGACACGGUCCAGACUCCUACGGGAGGCAGCAGUGGGGAAUAUUGGACAAUGGGCGCAAGCCUGAUCCAGCCAUACCACGUGGGUGAAGAAGGCCUUCGGGUUGUAAAGCCCUUUUGUUGGGAAAGAAAAGCAGCAGGUUAAUACCCCGCUGUUCUGACGGUACCCAAAGAAUAAGCACCGGCUAACUUCGUG